AGCAGCCGCGGUAAUUCCAGCUCCAAUAGCGUAUAUUAAAGUUAUUGCAGUUAAAAAGCUCGUAGUUGAAUUUCGAGAUCGGCUUACUGGUCGUGCUUUUGUACGUACUGGUAUAAUCGGUUUCUCCUUUCUGACGAACUUUAAUGCCAUUAAUUUGGUGUUUUAGGGAAUCAGGGCUGUUACUUUGAAAAAAUUAGAGUGUUUAAAGCAGGCUCACGCUUGAAUACAUUAGCAUGGAAUAACGGAAUAGGACGUUUGAUUCUAUUUUGUUGGUUUCUAGGAUCGACGUAAUGAUUAAUAGGGAUAGUUGGGGGCAUUAGUACUCAAUUGUCAGAGGUGAAAUUCUUGGAUUUAUUGAAGACUAACUACUGCGAAAGCAUUUGUCAAGGAUGUUUUCAUUAAUCAAGAACGAAAGUUAGGGGAUCGAAGACGAUCAGAUACCGUCGUAGUCUUAACCAUAAACUAUGCCGACUAGGGAUCGGAUGAUGUUAAUUUUUAAUGACUCAUUCGGCGCCUUACG
RNAcentral lists this ribosomal RNA (520 nucleotides) under uncultured Glomus. RNAcentral describes it as "SSU rRNA". It matches the Rfam family "Eukaryotic small subunit ribosomal RNA", at positions 569 to 1092 of the family's 1831-position model. The record is from RNAcentral. Lineage: Eukaryota; Fungi; Glomeromycota; Glomeromycetes; Glomerales; Glomeraceae.